This 2454-nucleotide long non-coding RNA is filed under the name Nicotiana tabacum (common tobacco). Its description in RNAcentral is "long non-coding RNA (NTAB_LNC015456)". Lineage: Eukaryota; Viridiplantae; Streptophyta; Magnoliopsida; Solanales; Solanaceae. The record is from RNAcentral.
GCCAGGUUGAGCUGCAAAACUUGUGGGAGGAGCAGCUGGGCCCGGAAGUGCCAGAUAACCUGUAUGAUGUGUAGUUGCCGCACCAUGAGAUUCAAAUCCUGCCUGUGUGGCAGGUUGGACACUUGGGAUUGCAUGAUCACUAGGAGGUGGAGGACCAGAUGGUGGGAGAAUGUCAGCCAAUAUAUCGAUCUCCUGGUUGGAGGUGGACAGCUCCUGCUGAGCAUAUUGCAUAUUAGUUGGAGUAACCUGACUAUAUGUUGCCCUUGAGAGCUCAGCACCCUGAGGGACCGAUUGAGGAAGCUCAGGGCUUUGAUUUGAAUUAGGAUGGAAAGAUGUAGAGUUCUGCAGAUGAGUUUGCAUGCUAUUCGAGGUCAUAGCCUUGAAAGGACCAUCACCAAAAGGAUCCUCAAACAUCUGCAAGAAAAGCAAAUAUCUCUUCAGUAAGUAAAUUGUAGAACGGCAGAAUCAUAAAUGUGUGCAAUACAACGCAUAUGGUUAACUCAUUAAAUGCCCUUGCACUGGUUUUGGUUUAUCCACCUGGUUAGAGAUGGUAGAUCCUGAUGAUGCUUCCCCAAACAUGGUCUCAGUGCCAGUGCUCCCAGAAGGAUUAACCUCAGAGGCACUCGAAGCUGCAGGUACAAGGGCUAAUGAGUUGGAGGAAAACGGCUCAGACAAGGCGCCAAGUAAAUCCAUUUCGCCAGCAGAAGUAGUUGACACAGGACCAUUUGAUGGAGCUGGGGCCGCUGCUCAUACAGGAGAAAACUUACUUGCAUUAGAAUGGUAAAGUAACAAAUCAUUUACAAAACAAUUUGAGAAGCACCUGGGAAUCAAAAAGGAGCCCAUAAUCAAUAUGAUACCAGCAAUCGCACAGCAGACAAAAAAUAAUGAGGUUCCAAUGUGACGUUAAGGGACUCCUCAACUCUACUAAUACAUCACAUUGUGUAUUAAACCCUCAUUUCUGCGCUUGGAAUUCUCAAUUACCCUUAAUUUUAUUUUUGAAUUUCACUCGCUUCAUAGUACAGGCAGGUGUCAUCAGCAAAUAGCACCCGAGAUUUCACAAUUUACUGCAGAAAAUUACUGCCAACUAUUAACCCCUUUACGCAGCGCCUCUAUCCUCUGAUUUUAUUGGUGAAUAAGAAGGGCUAGAAAGAGUCAUUUUCGCUAUUUAGGAAUUUCGGACUGAAAAUUUAGCUGUGGAUAUGCACCAUUUUAUCCAUGCAAUUCAUUUUUCUCCAUAAUUCAUUUCCUUUAAUAUUGCGAACAAAAAGUUGCAGUUAACAUGAUUUAAGGCCGUUUCCAUAUACAAUUUGCAGGUCACCCAUGGUGUUCCUUCUUUUAUUGCUCAAAACCCAAUUGAUAUAAGCACAGCUUCAGCAAUUUGUUUGUGUGAUAUUAAGGAAAUCUGAGAAUCUUUUAUCAAAUUGCUCGUAACACCUUACACUCUUGUUCUCAGUACUUGUGAAAUUAGUUUAUAUACACAAACCAGCACAAACGUUUUUUUUGGUAUUAGAGCAAUAAAUGACACAUUGAGGCUCUUCGCAGUGACCAUCCUCAAAUAAGAUGCUUUUAGUGCUGCCAGAACUGAAGUAAAAGACUGACUGGACACUUUAUUAAGAUGAGAAGAUAAAAGGUGCAAGUAUAUGAAGAGAGCACACGUUGAUUUUGAUUUCUUAGGAACAGAAAUCAGUGAAAAGGUGGGUCUUAAAAGAUGUAUGUUGUAAUAAUUCUCUUUAUGCGAUGCCAAAGAGGGAUUAUUUUAAUUUUUAACAGAAAAGAGAAAGGAACGGUUCACAUUCACGUUAUAUAGCAUACACAAGUUACACCUUUACCAGCACAGCAUGGGUCUUAAAACGUCCUGUGCAUUUUAAUUGUCCUCUCUAUAACAAACACGUACUUCCCAACUUCACCCACCUUUACCAAAAUAAAUUUUCAACACAUCUGAAUUUGCUAAUACUUGUAACAAAAUCGUAAUUUUGGAGUUUGGUUGGUCCCAAUUGUUUAUUUAAUCAAGCAAGCAGCAUGCUACACGAUUAAACAUCUUUAACAGACAGACAGACAUACACUGCAAGUUACUUUCUCAAAGUACCACAUUGAAGGAAGCCUAGUUACUAAAGACAAAAUAGGAAACUAGUAGCUCCUGAUUACCACCAAAUAUUUUGAAAAUGUUUAGUGCCAGUAAUAUACUUAAAACAUUAAGCACUAACUUGGCCAUUGUUCUUCAGUGGGGGUCGUUUUACCUGAAAAAGAUGCACGGGGAUCAAAUUCAUCAAAACUCUCAACAACCUUGUUUUCUGGUGGUGGAGCAGUAGCUGCUGCUGGAGCUGGUGGUGGAGCAGUAGCUGCUGCUGGAGCUGAAGGUGGAGCAGUAGCUGCUGCCGGAGAAGGCAUAUUAGCUGGGCUAGGACUGGCACUUGCAUGAGGAGAAGAAGAUUUGGGAGCAGAUGCUGAAGAAGU